AGUAGCUCCAGUAAAAUUACCCUGCUGUAAAAAUGGGUACUUAACGUUUUAAGUAGCUUUGGGGAGAAGCGCCAGCUAUAGGAACUAAUGUGAACAAAGUUAAACCAAGUGUUCAAAGACUUUAAACCCUUUAAAUGCUUAUUUAAAUGCUUAUCCCUCUGCUGUGUCACCUGCUUGUAAAACCUGGUCAGUUAGGCAUGAUUAGACAUUUAGGUGCGGCUGCUUCAUUAUCUGCGAUUAUGCAUAUUCGUGAUUGUAAAUGUGAAAAGGAAUUAACAAAGGUACUGAUGAGGAAACUGUGCAGCUAAUGGAGCAGCAUUUCCACGGUUGCGCUUUCAGCAUCCGCCUCUUUGUCCCCAGUUUACCUUAAAUUUGAAUCUUUCCAAAACCUGAAAAUGCAACAGAAAGGAGGAGUGGGGUGAGAUGAGGAGCUGCUGCCAGUCAGUGCCAGCUGUCAGGGCCAGCGGAGUCUGGAUCCGCAAUGUUUGUCCACACUCGGUCCACUGUGGACACCUUCCAGUUCCCCACCAGCUCUCAGACACCGCCAGGUGUUCCUCUCACACCCGAAAAGCUCACCGAAUGCAUCUGUUAACUGAUUGCCAUUAGGCUGUGUCACAUCCCGGAUGGAGCUGGAGCCAUUUCCCAGAUCCCAAUGCCUUUCGGAUGUCUCCGUGCUUGCUGCCGCUUGCGGUGUGGCAUUCGGCCUGGCGCCGAGGGGGCGGUCGUGAAUCGCAGGAUAGGGCAGUUAGUCGUUAAUAUAGCCUCAGAGAUGGUGAAUGGUGAUUUUAACCGGCGUGUGCCUCCGGACAUGGGCCAAAACGUGUCUUGGAAGAACACCAGUGGCAAACUGGCCAUCUGCUUUGCCUGCUGUCCGACAACGAAGGCGCGUCAAGGCAGGCCGGGGGUGAAGGUGGCAGCCGUCGUAUUUCUAAGCUGCAAUUUAUCCAAAUACUCAGACGUAGUGUUUGGGCUUAACAGGGCCGGACGGAGCAAGGCUGCUGAACGAGAGCCGUCGCAGAGCAGGCGAACACGGGUUCAGAACCAGUAGAAGAGGAGGCGAACGGAUUCAGCUGCUUCUGCAGGAGUGUUUAGAGUAAAGUGAAGUGCGGGCAGGAGUGCCGUCAAUUUGUCGACCUCCUUGUUGCCCUUACAGUCAGACCUUGCAGACAGAAGAAGCUGAAAAGAGAUUUGUUAAUGCAGCAUUUCUGCUCCAUCUGAUGUGAAAUGUACUUCUUUUAUAUGCUUCGUUUAGAAUGAAGUGUCCUUUCCACCAGCACCUUAGCGAUUCAGGCUUUUUCAUGCUAACCGAGCCCAUUUAGAUUCAAAUUGUGUUAGAAGGAAAUGGAGAUAAAGGCAAAGAAAUCCAGGCAAAGAGAGUGUGUUUUGUGUGUGUGUUUUGUGUGUGUGUGUGUGUGUGUGUGUGUGUGUGUGUGUGCGCGCGCGCGCGCGCGCAUGCACUGGGAUUCAAUUGCUCUGAAAGGGCAGGUGUGUUCAGCCGCUGGCUCUCCCCCAGCCCUCGGGAAGGGCAUUAAAGGGUCUAAAUUAGACGCUUUUUACCAUGUACCUCUCCUAACCCUAAAGGCAGUUUGUCUCUCACUGCCUUAGGGAAGCAGAGAGUCUGGAGGCAACGUGAGCCACUUAUUCCGCUCGCUCUGCUUUUCUCUCAGUAAAAAGACAAGAAAAAUAUAACUGUUGGAAUACGAAUCUCCAUUGCUUUGUCCUUGCUCAGCAGGGUAAGGACUAGGGUUAACAUUAGGAUUAAGUUCAGGAUUAGUGCUAGUAUUAAGGUUAGAAUUAGGGUUAGGGUUAGAGUUAGCUCAUGGGGGUGCGGUGGCACAGUGGAUUUGACCGGGUCCUGCUCUCCGGUGGGUCUGGGGUUCGGGUCCCUCUUGGGGUGCCUUGCGACGGACUGGUGUCCUGUCCUGGGUGUGUCCCCCCCCUCUGGCCUUAUGUCCUGUGUUGCUGGGUUAGGCUCUGGCUCCCCACAACCGUGCAUGGAGAAGUGGUUUCAGACAGACAGUGUGUUAGAGUUAGCAUUAGGGUUAACA
RNAcentral lists this long non-coding RNA (2048 nucleotides) under Scleropages formosus (Asian bonytongue). RNAcentral describes it as "lncRNA (ENSSFOG00015028305.1)". Lineage: Eukaryota; Metazoa; Chordata; Actinopteri; Osteoglossiformes; Osteoglossidae. The record is from RNAcentral.